CGCGCGAUACAGGGUGACAGCCCCGUACACAAAAAUGCACAUGCUGUGAGCUCGAUGAGUAGGGCGGGACACGUGGUAUCCUGUCUGAAUAUGGGGGGACCAUCCUCCAAGGCUAAAUACUCCUGACUGACCGAUAGUGAACCAGUACCGUGAGGGAAAGGCGAAAAGAACCCCGGCGAGGGGAGUGAAAAAGAACCUGAAACCGUGUACGUACAAGCAGUGGGAGCCUCUUUAUGGGGUGACUGCGUACCUUUUGUAUAAUGGGUCAGCGACUUAUAUUCUGUAGCAAGGUUAACCGAAUAGGGGAGCCGAAGGGAAACCGAGUCUUAACUGGGCGUUAAGUUGCAGGGUAUAGACCCGAAACCCGGUGAUCUAGCCAUGGGCAGGUUGAAGGUUGGGUAACACUAACUGGAGGACCGAACCGACUAAUGUUGAAAAAUUAGCGGAUGACUUGUGGCUGGGGGUGAAAGGCCAAUCAAACCGGGAGAUAGCUGGUUCUCCCCGAAAGCUAUUUAGGUAGCGCCUCGUGAACUCAUCUCCGGGGGUAGAGCACUGUUUCGGCAAGGGGGUCAUCCCGACUUACCAACCCGAUGCAAACUGCGAAUACCGGAGAAUGUUAUCACGGGAGACACACGGCGGGUGCUAACGUCCGUCGUGAAGAGGGAAACAACCCAGACCGCCAGCUAAGGUCCCAAAGUCAUGGUUAAGUGGGAAACGAUGUGGGAAGGCCCAGACAGCCAGGAUGUUGGCUUAGAAGCAGCCAUCAUUUAAAGAAAGCGUAAUAGCUCACUGGUCGAGUCGGCCUGCGCGGAAGAUGUAACGGGGCUAAACCAUGCACCGAAGCUGCGGCAGCGACGCUUAUGCGUUGUUGGGUAGGGGAGCGUUCUGUAAGCCUGUGAAGGUGUGCUGUGAGGCAUGCUGGAGGUAUCAGAAGUGCGAAUGCUGACAUAAGUAACGAUAAAGCGGGUGAAAAGCCCGCUCGCCGGAAGACCAAGGGUUCCUGUCCAACGUUAAUCGGGGCAGGGUGAGUCGACCCCUAAGGCGAGGCCGAAAGGCGUAGUCGAUGGGAAACAGGUUAAUAUUCCUGUACUUGGUGUUACUGCGAAGGGGGGACGGAGAAGGCUAUGUUGGCCGGGCGACGGUUGUCCCGGUUUAAGCGUGUAGGCUGGUUUUCCAGGCAAAUCCGGAAAAUCAAGGCUGAGGCGUGAUGACGAGGCACUACGGUGCUGAAGCAACAAAUGCCCUGCUUCCAGGAAAAGCCUCUAAGCAUCAGGUAACAUCAAAUCGUACCCCAAACCGACACAGGUGGUCAGGUAGAGAAUACCAAGGCGCUUGAGAGAACUCGGGUGAAGGAACUAGGCAAAAUGGUGCCGUAACUUCGGGAGAAGGCACGCUGAUAUGUAGGUGAAGUCCCUCGCGGAUGGAGCUGAAAUCAGUCGAAGAUACCAGCUGGCUGCAACUGUUUAUUAAAAACACAGCACUGUGCAAACACGAAAGUGGACGUAUACGGUGUGACGCCUGCCCGGUGCCGGAAGGUUAAUUGAUGGGGUCAGCGCAAGCGAAGCUCUUGAUCGAAGCCCCGGUAAACGGCGGCCGUAACUAUAACGGUCCUAAGGUAGCGAAAUUCCUUGUCGGGUAAGUUCCGACCUGCACGAAUGGCGUAAUGAUGGCCAGGCUGUCUCCACCCGAGACUCAGUGAAAUUGAACUCGCUGUGAAGAUGCAGUGUACCCGCGGCAAGACGGAAAGACCCCGUGAACCUUUACUAUAGCUUGACACUGAACAUUGAGCCUUGAUGUGUAGGAUAGGUGGGAGGCUUGGAAGUGUGGACGCCAGUCUGCAUGGAGCCGACCUUGAAAUACCACCCUUUAAUGUUUGAUGUUCUAACGUUGACCCGUAAUCCGGGUUGCGGACAGUGUCUGGUGGGUAGUUUGACUGGGGCGGUCUCCUCCUAAAGAGUAACGGAGGAGCACGAAGGUUGGCUAAUCCUGGUCGGACAUCAGGAGGUUAGUGCAAUGGCAUAAGCCAGCUUGACUGCGAGCGUGACGGCGCGAGCAGGUGCGAAAGCAGGUCAUAGUGAUCCGGUGGUUCUGAAUGGAAGGGCCAUCGCUCAACGGAUAAAAGGUACUCCGGGGAUAACAGGCUGAUACCGCCCAAGAGUUCAUAUCGACGGCGGUGUUUGGCACCUCGAUGUCGGCUCAUCACAUCCUGGGGCUGAAGUAGGUCCCAAGGGUAUGGCUGUUCGCCAUUUAAAGUGGUACGCGAGCUGGGUUUAGAACGUCGUGAGACAGUUCGGUCCCUAUCUGCCGUGGGCGCUGGAGAACUGAGGGGGGCUGCUCCUAGUACGAGAGGACCGGAGUGGACGCAUCACUGGUGUUCGGGUUGUCAUGCCAAUGGCACUGCCCGGUAGCUAAAUGCGGAAGAGAUAAGUGCUGAAAGCAUCUAAGCACGAAACUUGCCCCGAGAUGAGUUCUCCCUGACUCCUUGAGAGUCCUGAAGGAACGUUGAAGACGACGACGUUGAUAGGCCGGGUGUGUAAGCGCAGCGAUGCGUUGAGCUAACCGGUACUAAUGAACCGUGAGGCUUAACCUU
RNAcentral lists this ribosomal RNA (2590 nucleotides) under Escherichia coli. RNAcentral describes it as "partial 23S ribosomal RNA". It matches the Rfam family "Bacterial large subunit ribosomal RNA", at positions 351 to 2925 of the family's 2925-position model. Lineage: Bacteria; Pseudomonadati; Pseudomonadota; Gammaproteobacteria; Enterobacterales; Enterobacteriaceae. The record is from RNAcentral.